UAUUCCAGCUCCAAUAGCGUAUAUUAARGUUGYUGCAGYUAAAAAGCUCGUAGUUGGAUUUGUGGCAGUCGCAUGCGGCCCGGCAUUCGUGUCGGUGUUUGCUCGCGUCGCCAUCCUUGGGUGGAACCUGUGUGGCAUUAGGUUGUCGUGCAGGGGAUGCCCAUCAUUUACUGUGAAAAAAUUAGAGUGUUCAAAGCAGGCUUAUGCCGUUGAAUAUAUUAGCAUGGAAUAAUAAGAUAGGACCUUGGUACUAUUUUGUUGGUUUGCGCACCAAGGUAAUGAUUAAUAGGGACAGUUGGGGGUAUUCGUAUUCCAUUGUCAGAGGUGAAAUUCUUGGAUUUCUGGAAGACGAACUACUGCGAAAGCAUUUACCAAGGAUGUUUUCAUUAAUCAAGAACGAAAGWUAGRRKRUCGAAGAUGAUUAGAUACAUCGUAGUCA
RNAcentral lists this ribosomal RNA (439 nucleotides) under Nitzschia palea. Its description in RNAcentral is "SSU rRNA". It matches the Rfam family "Eukaryotic small subunit ribosomal RNA", at positions 583 to 1037 of the family's 1831-position model. The record is from RNAcentral. Lineage: Eukaryota; Bacillariophyta; Bacillariophyceae; Bacillariales; Bacillariaceae.